Molecule: transfer RNA, 72 nt
Filed under: Danionella translucida
Lineage: Eukaryota; Metazoa; Chordata; Actinopteri; Cypriniformes; Danionidae
Also listed under: 1 other name
Rfam family: tRNA
About the family: Transfer RNA (tRNA) molecules are approximately 80 nucleotides in length. Their secondary structure includes four short double-helical elements and three loops (D, anti-codon, and T loops). Further hydrogen bonds mediate the characteristic L-shaped molecular structure. tRNAs have two regions of fundamental functional importance: the anti-codon, which is responsible for specific mRNA codon recognition, and the 3' end, to which the tRNAs corresponding amino acid is attached (by aminoacyl-tRNA synthetases). tRNAs cope with the degeneracy of the genetic code in two manners: having more than one tRNA (with a specific anti-codon) for a particular amino acid; and 'wobble' base-pairing, i.e. permitting non-standard base-pairing at the 3rd anti-codon position.
Source: Rfam by way of RNAcentral
GCGUUGGUGGUAUAGUGGGGAGCAUAGCUGUCUUCCAAGCAGUUGACCUGGGUUCGAUUCCCAGCCAACGCA